GUGAGGAAUAUUGCGCAAUGGAGGCAACUCUGACGCAGCCAUGCCGCGUGCAGGAAGAAGGCGCUACGCGUUGUAAACUGCUUUUAACCGGGAAGAAACCCCAGGACGUGUCCUGGGUUGACGGUACCGGAGGAAUAAGCACCGGCUAACUUCGUGCCAGCAGCCGCGGUAAUACGAAGGGUGCAAGCGUUAUCCGGAUUCAUUGGGGUUAAAGGGUGCGUAGGCGGAGCGUUAAGUCAGUGGUGAAAUCCUGCAGCUUAACUGUAGACUUGCCAUAGAUACUGGCGCUGUUGAGUGCACUUGAAGUGGGCGGAAUGUGCCGUGUAGCGGUGAAAUGCUUAGAUAUGGCACAGAACACCAAUUGCUAAGGCAGCUCACUAAGGCGAUACUGACGCUGAGGCACGAAAGCGUGGGGAUCGAACAGGAUUAGAUACCCCUGUAGUCC
This 445-nucleotide ribosomal RNA is filed under the name uncultured bacterium. RNAcentral's name for it is "partial 16S ribosomal RNA". It matches the Rfam family "Bacterial small subunit ribosomal RNA", at positions 354 to 796 of the family's 1533-position model. The record is from RNAcentral.